AGAGUUUGAUCCUGGCUCAGGAUGAACGCUGGCGGCGUGCCUAAUACAUGCAAGUCGAACGCACUGUGGUUCAACUGAUUUGAAGAGCUUGCUCUGAUAUGACGAUGAACAUUGCAGUGAGUGGCGAACGGGUGAGUAACACGUGGGAAACCUACCUCUUAGCGGGGGAUAACAUCUGGAAACAGAUGCUAAUACCGCAUAACACUAGCAACCGCAUGGUUGCUACUUGAAAGAUGGUUCUGCUAUCACUAAGAGAUGGUCCCGCGGCGCAUUAGUUAGUUGGUGAGGUAAUGGCUCACCAAGACGAUGAUGCGUAGCCGAGUUGAGAGACUGAUCGGCCACAAUGGGACUGAGACACGGCCCAUACUCCUACGGGAGGCAGCAGUAGGGAAUCUUCCACAAUGGACGAAAGUCUGAUGGAGCAACGCCGCGUGUGUGAUGAAGGGUUUCGGCUCGUAAAACACUGUUGUAAGAGAAGAAUAGCAUCAAGAGUAACUGCUUGGUGUGUGACGGUAUCUUACCAGAAAGGAACGGCUAAAUACGUGCCAGCAGCCGCGGUAAUACGUAUGUUCCAAGCGUUAUCCGGAUUUAUUGGGCGUAAAGCGAGCGCAGACGGUUUUUUAAGUCCGAAGUGAAAGCCCACAGCUUAACUGUGGAAGUGCUUUGGAAACUGGAUGACUUGAGUGCAGUAGAGGAGGGUGGAAUUCCAUGUGUAGCGGUGAAAUGCGUAGAUAUAUGGAGGAACACAGUGGCGAAGCGGCUCUCUGGACUGUAACUGACGU
This 782-nucleotide ribosomal RNA is filed under the name uncultured bacterium. Its description in RNAcentral is "bacterial SSU rRNA". It matches the Rfam family "Bacterial small subunit ribosomal RNA", at positions 8 to 746 of the family's 1533-position model. The record is from RNAcentral.